This 467-nucleotide ribosomal RNA is filed under the name uncultured bacterium. RNAcentral describes it as "partial 16S ribosomal RNA". It matches the Rfam family "Bacterial small subunit ribosomal RNA", at positions 28 to 507 of the family's 1533-position model. The record is from RNAcentral.
GACGAACGCUGGCGGCGUGCUUAACACAUGCAAGUCGAACGGAAAGGCCUAGCUUGCUGGGUACUCGAGUGGCGAACGGGUGAGUAACACGUGGGUGAUCUGCCCCUGACUUUGGGAUAAGCCUGGGAAACUGGGUCUAAUACCGGAUAUUCAUUUUUCCUCGCAUGGGGAUUUGUGGAAAGCUUUUGCGGUUGGGGAUGGGCCCGCGGCCUAUCAGCUUGUUGGUGGGGUAAUGGCCUACCAAGGCGACGACGGGUAGCCGACCUGAGAGGGUGAUCGGCCACACUAGGACUGAGACACGGCCCAGACUCCUACGGGAGGCAGCAGUGGGGAAUAUUGCACAAUGGGCGCAAGCCUGAUGCAGCGACGCCGCGUGAGGGAUGACGGCCUUCGGGUUGUAAACCUCUUUCAGCUCCGACGAAGCGCAAGUGACGGUAGGAGCAGAAGAAGCACCGGCCAACUACGUG